RNAcentral lists this transfer RNA (74 nucleotides) under Phycisphaerales bacterium. RNAcentral describes it as "tRNA-Arg". It matches the Rfam family "tRNA". Rfam says of the family: Transfer RNA (tRNA) molecules are approximately 80 nucleotides in length. The record is from RNAcentral. Lineage: Bacteria; Pseudomonadati; Planctomycetota; Phycisphaerae; Phycisphaerales.
GCCCGGAUAGCUCAGUCGGAUAGAGCAGCGCUUUCCUAAAGCGCAGGUCGCAGGUUCGAUCCCUGUUCCGGGUG